AGUGAACGCUGGCGGUAGGCCUAACACAUGCAAGUCGAACGGCAGCACAGUAAGAGCUUGCUCUUACGGGUGGCGAGUGGCGGACGGGUGAGGAAUACAUCGGAAUCUACUUUUUCGUGGGGGAUAACGUAGGGAAACUUACGCUAAUACCGCAUACGACCUACGGGUGAAAGCAGGGGAUCUUCGGACCUUGCGCGAUUGAAUGAGCCGAUGUCGGAUUAGCUAGUUGGCGGGGUAAAGGUCCACCAAGGCGACGAUCCGUGGCUGGUCUGAGAGGAUGAUCAGCCACACUGGAACUGAGACACGGUCCAGACUCCUACGGGAGGCAGCAGUGGGGAAUAUUGGACAAUGGGCGCAAGCCUGAUCCAGCCAUACCGCGUGGGUGAAGAAGGCCUUCGGGUUGUAAAGCCCUUUUGUUGGGAAAGAAAAGCAGCAGGUUAAUACCCCGCUGUUCUGACGGUACCCAAAGAAUAAGCACCGGCUAACUUCGUG
Molecule: ribosomal RNA, 492 nt
Filed under: uncultured bacterium
Lineage: Bacteria
Description: partial 16S ribosomal RNA
Rfam family: Bacterial small subunit ribosomal RNA
Source: RNAcentral